Molecule: ribosomal RNA, 157 nt
Filed under: Melanohalea multispora
Lineage: Eukaryota; Fungi; Ascomycota; Lecanoromycetes; Lecanorales; Parmeliaceae
Description: 5.8S ribosomal RNA
Rfam family: 5.8S ribosomal RNA
About the family: 5.8S ribosomal RNA (5.8S rRNA) is a component of the large subunit of the eukaryotic ribosome. It is transcribed by RNA polymerase I as part of the 45S precursor that also contains 18S and 28S rRNA. Functionally, it is thought that 5.8S rRNA may be involved in ribosome translocation.
Source: RNAcentral
AACUUUCAACAACGGAUCUCUUGGUUCCAGCAUCGAUGAAGAACGCAGCGAAAUGCGAUAAGUAAUGUGAAUUGCAGAAUUCAGUGAAUCAUCGAAUCUUUGAACGCACAUUGCGCCCCUUGGUAUUCCGAGGGGCAUGCCUGUUCGAGCGUCAUUG